UUCUCCCACUAAGGGCUAACCCUAACAGCCAGCCCCUUCCUCUGAACCCUAUCUCUCCCUUCCUCGGUCGCCUUCGCCGGCCUAGGCCUUUCCGGCGGCGGCUCCCUCUUUCCUUCCCUUUCCUCUUUUCUUCUUUUUUUCUCUUCCCUUUCCUUCUGCCGCCAGUUUCCUCUCUCUAUAAAAGCCCUAGACGCCGUUCUUCUUCUCGGGGUGCAAGGUCUCCUUUAAAACUGUACAAAUACGUCCAAAUUUAUCCUGUCCGUAUCAUCCAUUACAUCAGGUGUUAGCAUGUAUGGGUUCUAAAUCAGUUGAGGAUAUGAUAGAGGCCUCAUCUGAGGUCCAUUUCCCUGGAUUCCAUGUGGAUGGUUUGGAGUGUAGAAAUAUUGAGAAAUAUUUGUGGCUGCCACUCAAAUGCUGAAGACAUCUUGUUCCUAAAAUGAUGAGUUGGAAUAAAUUAAUCUUUCCAAAAGAAAUGGUUGGAGAAUCUUUGCCAGAGUUCAAUGGGCUAGAAGGUGUUCUGCAGCCAUUACUUAGUGCAUCAAAUUCAUCUUCACUAAAAGAAGCCCUUGAGAUUCUUAUAAAAGUAUCUAGGACUGCCGCUGCCCGUGCAGAACUUGCUUUAAGGAAUAUCCUUCCUACAGUCCUUAAGCUUGUUGAAUCUUUCCACCAAACAUCAAGUCGUGAAUAUCUCGUGAAUUCUCUGAAGCUUCUUAGGAACCUAUGUGCAGGAGAAGUUGCCAAUCAGAAUGCAUUUUUUGAACAAAAUGGAGUUGAAGUUGUUUUGAGUGUUUUGAGGUCUGCAGCACUUCUUUCUAAUCCAGAUUCUGGGGUUAUUCGUGUCAGCCUGCAAGUUCUGGCAAAUGUUUCAUUAGCUGGAGAAGACCAUCAGCAGGCUAUUUGGCUUAAGUUCUUCCCGAAUGAGUUUUCUGUACUAGCGAGAGUUCGAAGUCAAGAGACUAAUGAUCCUCUGUGUAUGAUUUUAUAUACCUGUUGUGAUAGAAGGCCUGGACUGGUUGCUGAGCUAUGUAGAGAUAUGGGGUUGCCUAUUGUAGUGGGUAUAAUAAGGACAGUUGCUUCAGUUGGUUUUGGAGAAGAUUGGUUUAAGUUGCUUCUCUCAAGAUUAUGUUUGGAAGAUAUUCACUUUCCUCUGGUGUUCUCUAAAUCAUGUGAAGGCAGUUCCUCUGAGAAUAGUGGAAAUACUGAUUCAGGGGAUGAUCUUUUUUUGUCAGAGCAGGCUUUUCUUUUGAGAAUCAUUUCGGAGAUCCUAAAUGAACGAAUUGAGGAGAUACAAGUUUCCAGUGAGUUUGCAUUGUGUGUUCUUGGAAUAUUUAAGAGAUCAGUGAGGGUUGUUGAUUUUGCCUCCCGAGGCAUGUCUAGUCUUCCUACAGGAUGUACAUCCAUUGAUGUUAUGGGAUAUUCACUCAUCAUUUUGAGAGAUAUCUGUGCUCGAGAAGGUGUAGGAGACUUGAAGAACGAUUCCUUAGAUGUUGUUGAUAUGCUACUCUCCCAUGAACUUAUAGACAUUCUUUUGUCUUUACUUCGUGAUCUUGACCCUCCAGCAAUCAUAAGAAAAGUCCUGAAGGAGGGUGACAACCAAGGACUGAAUUUGUCUGCAUCUAAGCUUUGCCCUUAUAAAGGAUUCCGGAGAGAUAUGAUAGCAGUAAUUGGGAAUUGUGCCUAUCGAAGGAAGCAUGUACAGGAUGAAAUAAGGCAGAAAAAUGGGAUUCUACUGCUGUUACAGCAGUGUGUUACUGAUGAUGACAACCCAUAUCUGAGGGAAUGGGGCAUUUGGUCUUUGAGAAAUUUAUUAGAAGGGCAUGCAGAAAACCAACAAGCAGUGGCUGAUUUAGAGCUACAAGGGUCUGUUGACAUGCCUGAACUUUCAAGACUUGGUCUUAGAGUAGAGGUUGAUCAAAAGACUCGACGUGCAAAGCUAAUAAGUAUCCCAGGAAGCCAUCCAAAGCUCGAUGAGUAAGUUUACUUGUUUAACCCCCCCCAAAAAAGGUGCCAUGUUAUUUGAAGUUUUUCAAUUUGCACACUUUUUGAGGAACUGAUCCAGGAAGGCAGAAAGCUUGACUAUGCAAUCUGAUUUUGAUAUGGACAAGAUACACUACUGGUAAACUGCUACUAGCAAGUACCAAAUAGCUAGAAAACAACCUUGAGAGGAAGGAAAAUGCAAGGUCGAAGCAUGUCAGAGGAUUCGUUUCAAGCUAGCAUUACCAGACGAAGCCUUCAAAGCUCUUAGGAGACUCUGGGUCUGAUCAUGGUAUAACUUUGCAGCCUUCAUGUUCAAAUCUAUUUGCUGAAGCUGCAAUUCCUUCCACUGUUGAUCCCAUUCUUGCAGAUUUUGCUCUUCCACCAGAUCAAGUGCUUGUGUCAGAAUGUCAUCUCCAAUUCCAACACGGGAUGAUAUUUUGGUGUGAUACCUCCAAAGUUCAUUGAAGCAAGUCUGCCCCGUGCUAGUCUCCUCAUCCUCAUCCUCCUUAUCACCUUCAUUGUCAGGCUCAGCCUUUUGGCCCCAAAUGCUGUGGCAUAAUUUCAGGACUUGCUCUUUAUGUGAACCCAUAAUGACCUUCCCUCUGUUGGCAGCUUUCUCUUCUUUGUACAUUUUGUGGAGCUUGUGUAUUUUGUUUUUAAGUUGAACUUGGGAAAAAUCAGAGCUCCCUUCAAGCCUCAUGAAUCCAAGAAAAGAAUCUUUAUUAGUUGCAGGAUCAGACUUUUCUUCUUUCCAGAAUCUGACCAUCUCUUUCAAAACCGCCAGCUCUUCUUCUUCCUUCCAUUGUUUCUUCUUCUUCUUCUUCUUCUUGCUUUCUGCCUCUGUAGCUUGUGUGUCAAUGGAUUCUUUUUCAACAUCAUCAUCUUCAGAAUCAGGGACAAAAUCUUCAUCACAAUUUGCCCUUUUUCUGGAAGACAUUCUGGAAAUGUGGUUUCAAGGGAAUGGGAAAGGAGAAGAGUGAGGGGAGCCCAAUGGGGAAGGUAGCUGAAGGAUUUGAAGAGGGGCAGGCAGGUUACUUUAUUGGGAGCGGCAUUCAUGAUGAGGACUGCGUCAGGAUGCAUCUUCCCAAAGCAAAAUCUUGGCAGUCUCUUCAACUUCUUGUAUUUGUUUCUAACUUAAUAAUUAAUGAAUGCUGAGAUUAGCUUCAAAAGCUUUGUAUGGAAUUCCAUGAUGGGAUACUUUGAUCUUUACUACAUAAUAAACCAGAUGUUGCAGGUUGGGGAUUGAAGAAAGGAGAUGUUCAUGUGAAAUCAAAA
Molecule: non-coding RNA, 3252 nt
Organism: Theobroma cacao (cacao)
Lineage: Eukaryota; Viridiplantae; Streptophyta; Magnoliopsida; Malvales; Malvaceae
Source: RefSeq, a predicted model, not a curated record